This 935-nucleotide ribosomal RNA is filed under the name Phlebia rufa. Its description in RNAcentral is "LSU rRNA". It matches the Rfam family "Eukaryotic large subunit ribosomal RNA", at positions 38 to 961 of the family's 3401-position model. Lineage: Eukaryota; Fungi; Basidiomycota; Agaricomycetes; Polyporales; Meruliaceae. The record is from RNAcentral.
GCAUAUCAAUAAGCGGAAGGAAAAGAAACUAACAAGGAUUCCCCUAGUAACUGCGAGUGAAGCGGGAAAAGCUCAAAUUUAAAAUCUGGCGGUCUUCGAUCGUCCGAGUUGUAGUCUGGAGAAGCGUCUUCCGCGCUGGACCGUGUACAAGUCUCUUGGAACAGAGCGUCGUAGAGGGUGAGAAUCCCGUCUUUGACACGGACUACCAGUGCUUUGUGAUGCGCUCUCAAAGAGUCGAGUUGUUUGGGAAUGCAGCUCAAAAUGGGUGGUAAAUUCCAUCUAAAGCUAAAUAUUGGCGAGAGACCGAUAGCGAACAAGUACCGUGAGGGAAAGAUGAAAAGCACUUUGGAAAGAGAGUUAAACAGUACGUGAAAUUGCUGAAAGGGAAACGAUUGAAGUCAGUCGCGUCGUCUAGAACUCAACCUUGCCUCGGCUCGGUGCAUUUUCUAGUUGACGGGCCAGCAUCAGUUUUGACCGUUGGAAAAAAGGUCCUUGGAAUGUGGCACCUUCGGGUGUGUUAUAGCCUUGGGUCGUAUACGACGGUUGGGACUGAGGACCGCAGCACGCCUUUAUGGCCGGGGUUCGCCCACGUACGUGCUUAGGAUGCUGGCGUAAUGGCUUUAAACGACCCGUCUUGAAACACGGACCAAGGAGUCUAACAUGCCUGCGAGUGUUUGGGUGGUAAACCCGAGCGCGUAACGAAAGUGAAAGUUGGGAUCCCUGUCGUGGGGAGCACCGACGCCCACACCAGACCUUCUGUGACGGAUGUGCGGUUGAGCAUGUAUGUUGGGACCCGAAAGAUGGUGAACUAUGCCUGAAUAGGGUGAAGCCAGAGGAAACUCUGGUGGAGGCUCGUAGCGAUUCUGACGUGCAAAUCGAUCGUCAAUUUGGUAUAGGGGCGAAAGACUAUCGAACAUCUAGUAGCUGGUCUGCGA